UGCGCAGGCGGUUUUGUAAGUCAGAUGUGAAAGCCCCGGGCUCAACCUGGGAACUGCGUUUGAAACUACAAGGCUAGAGUGUAGCAGAGGGGGUAGAAUUCCACGUGUAGCAGUGAAAUGCGUAGAGAUGUGGAGGAAUACCAAUGGCGAAGGCAGCCCCCUGGGUUAACACUGACGCUCAUGCACGAAAGCGUGGGAGCAAACA
This 205-nucleotide ribosomal RNA is filed under the name uncultured bacterium. RNAcentral describes it as "partial 16S ribosomal RNA". It matches the Rfam family "Bacterial small subunit ribosomal RNA", at positions 568 to 774 of the family's 1533-position model. The record is from RNAcentral.